Molecule: long non-coding RNA, 399 nt
Organism: Eurytemora carolleeae
Lineage: Eukaryota; Metazoa; Arthropoda; Copepoda; Calanoida; Temoridae
Exons: 4
Source: RefSeq, a predicted model, not a curated record
AGCAAGCAGAUUAUUUCUAAAUCUAAUUUUUUUUUAGAGCCAUAGAAGAAAUUCAAGAAACCCCGGCCCACCUGCUGAUGUCUCUUGUCCAAUGGUAUGGUUGCGAGACUAAGAACGGACUUCGAGCACUGGAGAGUGUAAUUAGAAGCAAGAAUCUAAAGGAUCAUGAACAACAUCCAAGUUGGAUACCAGAUGAAGAGGAGGAGGAGGAGGAUGAGGAGCUAAGAAAAGAUCUGGCUUUUCACAGGUUGAUUUAACUUGGAUAAAAUAGAAGAUGGAGAGAAAUGAACUAAUACUCAAUACCCUACCCUGGCUGCAUUAUAAACAUAAUAUACUGUUUUGUAAUAAAAUAUUUAUCAUUUAUUUAUUCUGGGAGAUUUAAUAAAUGAUCAUACUGAA